UAAGUUAGAUGAUGCUCUUUGUCCGGUAGAGGAUGAUAUAGUUCAAGUUCGAGGCCUUGACAGAUUGAGAAACUUGGAAAUUCUGGGGGUAUUGGACUGUCAGUCCCUUGUAAGACCGGACCUCUCACAAUUAACACGUCUGAAGGAAUUAGGCCUUCGUGAAUGCCACAAUCUAGUCGAAAUCAAAGGCCUUGAAAGAUUGAAAGACUUGAGAUAUUUGGAUAUCGAGGGUUGCAGUUCCAUUGAAGCAUUACCAGACCUCUCGUGCUUUCAUAACCUGGAAGAAUUGAACAUCAAAGGGUGCUGGAAGCUUCGGGAUGUUCAGGGACUGGAGAAAGUCGCGAAUGUGGAAAAAUGAGGGAUUCAACUCCGACCCUCAGCAAAUUGUCCACAUCUGUCGAAUUUCGCAAAGAUUGAAUGAAAUGAUGGGGGUCAAUCUCGCAUGAUCUGGUGGAGAUCACAGAGCUCCAGGAAUCAAGGCAUCUAAACUCUAAAAGACAUCCAGCAAUGCAACUUAUCGGAUCUUCAUAUGUUCAUCGUUCUACUGCAGCAGAGAGAAACAACUGGUCCAUGAAAAGACUGCCCCGACGAGUCGAGCACUUUGGUAACACUGUCCGGAACGAUUCGCGUUUUGCUUUGAAAGUUCAAGGAAUGUAGAUUUCUGGUCAGCGGAAGUUGACACGAUGCUUCAGGGGCAUCGUGCUCUGGAUCGUUGGAGCAGUCAAUAAUGCAUUCACAAGGAAGAGUAGAAAGAUUUACCAAUGUUUUGAUAAAUCAGUGAAUUACCGACCUUUUCCAAAUUGUACAAGUGUAGCACUUCAAUAGAUUGUCAAUAGUUCCGAAUUUCUGCCAUUGUUAAAUUGUUUGCCGACUUAAGAGUUUUCCCUAAUUAAUGUAUUAAACAAUUGGAUUCUAGCAACAUACGAAGGAGGAGGUUUGAUAUUUAAUCACCGAAUAAAAAGAUGGAUUAUGUCCUUUUUGUCUCCUUUCCCAUUACAUAAAAAUGAUUAGGUUCAAUUUAACCAUUUUCCAUAACGACAGGAUAUGGUCUUCCUUCUCUUACGUGAUUCAAAGAACGGGGAAGGUGAUGGAGGAGUAUGACAUGAUGCUUCGGA
This is a long non-coding RNA of Rhodamnia argentea, 1115 nucleotides long. RefSeq lists it as uncharacterized. NCBI's taxonomy places the organism in Eukaryota, Viridiplantae, Streptophyta, Magnoliopsida, Myrtales, Myrtaceae. The transcript has 2 exons. The record is from RefSeq and is a predicted model, not a curated record.